CACUCCUGCGGGAGGCAGCAGUGGGGAAUUUUGGACAAUGGGCGAAAGCCUGAUCCAGCAAUGCCGCGUGUGUGAAGAAGGCCUUCGGGUUGUAAAGCACUUUUGUCCGGAAAGAAAUCCUUGGCUCUAAUACAGUCGGGGGAUGACGGUACCGGAAGAAUAAGCACCGGCUAACUACGUGCCAGCAGCCGCGGUAAUACGUAGGGUGCGAGCGUUAAUCGGAAUUACUGGGCGUAAAGCGUGCGCAGGCGGUUUGCUAAGACCGAUGUGAAAUCCCCGGGCUCAACCUGGGAACUGCAUUGGGGACUGGCAAGCUAGAGUAUGGGAGAGGGGGGUAGAAUUCCACGUGUAGCAGUGAAAUGCGUAGAGAUGUGGAGGAAUACCGAUGGCGAAGGCAGCCCCCUGGGCCAAUACUGACGCUCAUGCACGAAAGCGUGGGGAGCAAACAGGAUUAGAAACCCCAGUAGUCCCAU
This 473-nucleotide ribosomal RNA is filed under the name uncultured organism. RNAcentral's name for it is "partial 16S ribosomal RNA". It matches the Rfam family "Bacterial small subunit ribosomal RNA", at positions 334 to 798 of the family's 1533-position model. The record is from RNAcentral.